CACUUCUAAGGAAGGCAGCAGGCGCGCAAAUUACCCAAUCCUGACUCAGGGAGGUAGUGACAAGAAAUAACAAUAAACCGGCUUAUGCCGGUUUAAUUGGAAUGAGUACAAUUUAAACAUCUUAACGAGGAACAAUUGGAGGGCAAGUCUGGUGCCAGCAGCCGCGGUAAUUCCAGCUCCAAUAGCGUAUACUAAAGUUGUUGCAGUUAAAAAGCUCGUAGUUGGAUUUCUGUGGGGACGGAGCGGCCGGCCGCAACACGCGGUUCGAGCUAGCGCUUUCCCUACAUCCUGCCGCGAACCGUGCUACCAUUAGUUUGGUGGCGCCGGGGAUCGGCUCGAUUACUUUGAGAAAAAUAGAGUGUUCAAAGCAGGCCACACGCCUUGAAUAAGUUAGCAUGGAAUAAUAACUAAGGACUUCGGUUCUAUUUUGUUGGUGUUCGGGACUGAAGUAAUGAUUGAUAGGGACAGUUGGGGCGGUCUGUAUUCCAAAGCGAGAGGUGAAAUUCUUAGACCUUCGGAAGACAAACAGCUGCGAAAGCGUUCCGCAAGGAUGUUCCCUUUGAUCAAGAACGAAAGUUGGGGGAUCGAAGACGAUCAGAUACCGUCGUAGUCUCAACUAUAAACUAUACCAGCUAGGGAUCGGCCAACGUUAUUCUAUACCGACUUGGUCGGCACCUUAUGAGAAAUCAAAGCAUCUGGGUUCCGGGGGGAGUAUGGUCGCAAGGCUGAAACUUAAAGGAAUUGACGGAAGGGCACCACCAGCCGUGGAGCCUGUGGCUUAAUUUGACUCAACACGGGAAAACUUACCAGGUCCAGACAUAGUAAGGAUUGACAGAUUGAUAGCUCUUUCUUGAUUCUGUGGGUGGUGGUGCAUGGCCGUUCUUAGUUGGUGGAGUGAUUUGUCUGGUUAAUUCCGUUAACGAACGAGACCCCAGCCCGCUAAAUAGCGCGCGUGAGCUUUGCUCGCGGCGAGCUUCUUAGAGGGACUAUGAUGCGCGAUAGCACAUGGAAGUUUGGGGCAAUAACAGGUCUGUGAUGCCCUUAGAUGUUCUGGGCCGCACACGGGCUACACUGGCGCCUGCAACGAGCAUAUCAGCUGGCCCGAGAGGGUCUUGGCUAAUCUUUUGAACCGGCGCCGUGCUUGGGAUUGACCUUUGCAAUUGUUGGUCAUGCAACGAGGAAUGCCUUGUAAACGCGAGUCAUCAGCUCGCAUUGAAUACGUCCCUGCCCUUUGUACACACCGCCCGUCGCUCCUACCGAUGAAUGUUCCGAUGAAAUUUUCGGAGAGUGCCUGUGAACUUGGCUCUGCCUUGCGAACGGGAAGCUCAAAGUCACUUAAAUCUGAACAUUUCGAGG
This 1356-nucleotide ribosomal RNA is filed under the name uncultured marine eukaryote. Its description in RNAcentral is "SSU rRNA". It matches the Rfam family "Eukaryotic small subunit ribosomal RNA", at positions 411 to 1779 of the family's 1831-position model. The record is from RNAcentral.